This 474-nucleotide ribosomal RNA is filed under the name uncultured bacterium. RNAcentral describes it as "bacterial SSU rRNA". It matches the Rfam family "Bacterial small subunit ribosomal RNA", at positions 49 to 569 of the family's 1533-position model. The record is from RNAcentral.
CUCAACAUGCAAGUCUAGGGGGUGUAGCAAUACAUCACCGGCGGUGGGUGCGUAACGCGUGGGAAUAUACCUAUUGGUUCGGAACAACUGAGGGAAACUUCAGCUAAUACCGAAUGUGCCCUUACGGGGAAAGAUUAUCGGCAAUGGAUUAGCCCGCGUCCGAUUAGCUAGUUGGUGGGGUAACGGNCCACCAAGGCUCCGAUCGGUAGCUGUUCUGAGAGGAAGAUCAGCCACACUGGGACUGAGACACGGNCCAGACUCGUACGGGAGGCAGCAGUUGGGAAUCUUGGACAAUGGGGGAAACCCUGAUCCAGCCAUGCCGCGUGAGUGAUGAAGGCCUUCGGGUUGUAAAACUCUUUCGACGGGGACGAUAAUGACGGUACCCGUAGAAGAAGCUCCGGCUAACUUCGUGCCAGCAGCCGCGGUAAUACGAAGGGGGCUAGCGUUGUUCGGAAUUACUGGGCGUAAAGCGCG